Long non-coding RNA from Zophobas morio, 470 nucleotides. RefSeq lists it as uncharacterized. Lineage: Eukaryota; Metazoa; Arthropoda; Insecta; Coleoptera; Tenebrionidae. The record is from RefSeq and is a predicted model, not a curated record. The transcript is spliced from 3 exons.
CAUAACAGUGAAUUAUUAGUUAAUAAACCAUCUUCAAAAAAUUUUAACGGAAAAGUACUCUUCGAAACAUGCGCUCGCUUGGUGCUACCCUCCACGACCGACUUAGAAGAAGCUUAUCAAGCAAUUAAGAAAGCUGAAAAGGCUGAAACCAGAGAUAGCACAGUUAAACGGAGAAAGUCUUCUAUUUAUAAUUCAAAAAUCAUAAAAACUGAAACUAAUUCAAAGGAUUUAGAUAAUAGUGAGGGUACCAAAAGGCACUUGUGUAGCGAUACUAAAACUACAGAAUCUAUUAAAAAUAAAAAUAAUUCCAAUUGGAGAACUGAAAGUAGAAAAAGUUUUAAGGCUAAAGAUUUUAGUGACAGCACAUCUGAUAAUGAACUUAAUUCCGAAGAAAAGAAAAACGUUCAAGAAUUUUUUACGAUACCAAAGAAGGAUCUUGAAAUGAUGGAGACCAUUUACAAAAGGGCUUC